RNAcentral lists this ribosomal RNA (253 nucleotides) under uncultured bacterium. Its description in RNAcentral is "partial 16S ribosomal RNA". It matches the Rfam family "Bacterial small subunit ribosomal RNA", at positions 524 to 776 of the family's 1533-position model. The record is from RNAcentral.
UACAGAGGGGGCCAGCGUUAUUCGGAAUUAUUGGGCGUAAAGGGCGCGUAGGCGGCUUUGCGUGUCUUUCGUGAAAUCCCUCGGCUCAACUGAGGACGUGCGGAAGAAACUGCAGGGCUGGAGUCCGGGAGAGGAGGGUGGAAUUCCCAGUGUAGCGGUGAAAUGCGUAGAUAUUAGGAAGAACACCAGUGGCGAAGGCGGCUCACUGGCCCGGUACUGACGCUGAGGCGCGAAAGCGUGGGGAGCAAACAGG